UUAUUUUUGCAGCCCCUCUCUCAGCUCUUUCACAAUUAAAUGAGAAAGAGAGCCCAACUGACCAGUAAAGAAAAAGAAAAGUGGAGGUUGCAGCAGAGGAAAAGAGAAGGUGCUUUGGGACACCUGGGCUAAGGCAAGCAUGAUACUUCUAGCAAUCAUAGCAGGCCACUUUUCAACAGCAAGUCUUACAUAGUGAUUCGGGAUACUUCAGAAACAAUAAAGUCACAUUGUAACGGAGGAGGAGGAGGAGGAGGCAAGAAGAAGCCAGUCAAUUCUGACAUCUGGCAAACUUUUUCAGGGUUUUCCAGCUUAGUGCAUCCCACAUUGACCAGAGGAGUGGCAACAGCUAUCCCCAGAAUAUCUGAACACACCGUUUUCUGGCUGGAGUUGAGAGCUGAGCACCCUGUUAUAAUGAAGGUCAUCUGA
Molecule: long non-coding RNA, 426 nt
Filed under: Pogona vitticeps (central bearded dragon)
Lineage: Eukaryota; Metazoa; Chordata; Lepidosauria; Squamata; Agamidae
Description: lncRNA (ENSPVIG00000021355.1)
Source: RNAcentral